AAGACUAUACUUUCAGGGAUCAUUUCUAUAGUUCUUAACUAGGAAAUGUGUUUCGAAAGUGAUGCGUCUCCCAAACCACGAUGAUGAGCUUUGAUGCUUUUCUCUGAGCGUGAAUCGGAUGUAGAGUAAUGAUUCAAUUCAUAUGCUUUACGUCAUUGAUGAACGUUCCUCAAUGUGAUUUCACAGAGAGGAGGAGAAGAGCAUGAACAGAGUGGU
Carassius auratus (goldfish) is the source of this 216-nucleotide small nucleolar RNA. Its record names the gene U3. It matches the Rfam family "Small nucleolar RNA U3". From Rfam's summary of the family: Small nucleolar RNAs (snoRNAs) are involved in the processing and modification of rRNA in the nucleolus. There are two main classes of snoRNAs: the box C/D class, and the box H/ACA class. The record is from Ensembl. NCBI's taxonomy places the organism in Eukaryota, Metazoa, Chordata, Actinopteri, Cypriniformes, Cyprinidae.